This is a regulatory RNA element of Brevundimonas sp. Leaf363, 80 nucleotides long. It matches the Rfam family "nhaA-II RNA". NCBI's taxonomy places the organism in Bacteria, Pseudomonadati, Pseudomonadota, Alphaproteobacteria, Caulobacterales, Caulobacteraceae. The record is from Rfam.
AUCAGGUCCCGGGUUCGCGGGGCCAGGCCGGCGCCGGCAGGCGAAUCCGGUCCGACGCCCGUCGAUAACCUGGCGUCACG